Molecule: ribosomal RNA, 253 nt
Filed under: uncultured bacterium
Lineage: Bacteria
Description: partial 16S ribosomal RNA
Rfam family: Bacterial small subunit ribosomal RNA
Source: RNAcentral
UACGUAGGGGGCUAGCGUUGUCCGGAAUCAUUGGGCGUAAAGCGCGUGUAGGCGGCCCGGUAAGUCCGCUCUGAAAGUCCAGGGCUUAACCCUGGAAAGCGGGUGGAUACUGCCGGGCUUGAAUCCGGAAGAGGCGAGUGGAAUUCCUGGUGUAGCGGUGGAAUGCGCAGAUAUCAGGAGGAACACCAAUAGCGAAGGCAGCUCGCUGGGACGGUAUUGACGCUAAGGCGCGAAAGCGUGGGGAGCAAACAGG